RNAcentral lists this ribosomal RNA (389 nucleotides) under Trueperella pyogenes. RNAcentral's name for it is "bacterial SSU rRNA". It matches the Rfam family "Bacterial small subunit ribosomal RNA", at positions 46 to 428 of the family's 1533-position model. Lineage: Bacteria; Bacillati; Actinomycetota; Actinomycetes; Actinomycetales; Actinomycetaceae. The record is from RNAcentral.
GCUUAACACAUGCAAGUCGAACGAUGAAGCCGGGGCUUUUUGUUUUGGUGGAUUAGUGGCGAACGGGUGAGUAAUACGUGAGUAACCUGCCCUUGUCUUUGGGAUAAGCCUGGGAAACUGGGUCUAAUACCGGAUAUUCUGCUUUUGCCGCAUGGUGGGGGUUGGAAAGAUUUUUUGGAUGGGGAUGGGCUCACGGCCUAUCAGCUUGUUGGUGGGGUGAUGGCCUACCAAGGCGUCGACGGGUAGCCGGCCUGAGAGGGUGACCGGCCACAUUGGGACUGAGAUACGGCCCAGACUCCUACGGGAGGCAGCAGUGGGGAAUAUUGCACAAUGGACGCAAGUCUGAUGCAGCGACGCCCGCGUGGGGGAUGAAGGCUUUCGGGUUGUAA